Long non-coding RNA from Amblyraja radiata (thorny skate), 239 nucleotides. RefSeq lists it as uncharacterized. The transcript has 4 exons. Lineage: Eukaryota; Metazoa; Chordata; Chondrichthyes; Rajiformes; Rajidae. The record is from RefSeq and is a predicted model, not a curated record.
GCAGUGGAAAUGUCUCCACUAAUGGAAAUAUGAUAAUUAGCGGCCAUCAUUGGGAGAUAGUAACCAAGACAUCCAAUUGGGAAUUCUAUUUGUGUAAAAGUGAAAACAUUUUUUCUAAAUAGUAGAGACAAUGUGCAGCUAGCCAGAGUAGAUGAAGAGAGGAUAUUUCUAGUAGAGGGAGAGUAUAGGACUAGAGGGCACAACUUCAGAAUGAAAAGACGCACCUUUAGAAUGGAGAU